Long non-coding RNA from Pseudopipra pipra, 6172 nucleotides. RefSeq lists it as uncharacterized. The transcript has 11 exons. NCBI's taxonomy places the organism in Eukaryota, Metazoa, Chordata, Aves, Passeriformes, Pipridae. The record is from RefSeq and is a predicted model, not a curated record.
GCAGUGGGAUGUUCCCUAGAAACUGCAUGGAGCUGAGCCAAGGAACUUAAAGGGACUGAGCAAGCAAAGUAAAGAAAGAAUGAAGAAGGGAACUGAGGCAGCAGCCAAGCAGCACCAGGCUCCUCUACAACCAGGAUAAAAUGGGGCAAGCGGGCAGGAAGAAAAGAAGCCCCGUGACUCCUCCCUGAGCCCCAGCCAGCCCCUGAACUGCCUUCCUGGGAAUGGUGGGACGGGCUGGACUCUGGAUUGCUCCCUCUGCAUGUGUGGCUCUCCCCUCAGGAACUGCAGGAACUCCUGGUGCCGCCUGGGCCGAUGGAUUGGACGCCCCAGCCCCUCCGUUCCUGCCCAGCCCCUGGGGCCGUGUCCAGUGGUGGCACUGCCAGCCCUGCAGGGGAAGUGGGAAGGGCCUUUGCAGGUCUUGUGGGUCACAUUUAUAGCAGUGGGAUGGAGCCUGGAAACUGCCCAGAGCUGAGCCCAGGGAUUGAAAGGGACCAAGCAAGGGAGGUGAAGAAAGAAGGAAGAAGGGAAGUGAGGCAGCAGGCAAGCAGCACCAAGUUGCUGUGUAAGCAGGUAGUGUCCUGAAUUAGUUGAUUUCUGCCUCACUCCCUGAUGUCUGAGUUUGGAGAUGUACCAAGAACUGGUAGUUUUUGCAGUGGGAUGUUCCCUAGAAACUGCAUGGAGCUGAGCCAAGGAACUUAAAGGGACUGAGCAAGCAAAGUCAAGAAAGAAUGAAGAAGGGAACUGAGGCAGCAGCCAAGCAGCACCAGGCUCCUCUACAACCAGGAGAAAAUGGGGCAAGCGGGCAGGAAGAAGAGAAGCCCCGUGACUCCUCCCUGAGCCCCAGCCAGCCCCUGAACUGCCUCCCUGGGAAUGGUGGGACGGGCUGGACUCUGGAUUGCUCCCUCUGCAUGUGUAUGGGAUGGAGCCUGGAAAGUGCACAGAGCUGAGCCCAGGGAUUGAAAGGGACAAACCAAGGGAGGUGAAGGAAGAAGGAAGAAGGGAAGUGAGGCAGCAGCCAAGCAGCACCAAGUUGCUGUGUAAGCAGGUGAGUUGUGUUGAGGUUCCUCAGGCAGGCACUGAGGACUUGGAGGGCUCCAGACAGAGCAGACCUGGGAAGGCCCUCGGUGGAGCUCCUUGGAAACCUUCUAAGGGUAGGUGUGCAUGGUGAUAAGUGUUGGGAUUGUCCUGAAUGUGGAACAGGAAUGCAGGGAAGCAAAAUGAACCCUCCUGUAAUGCUGACCCCUCCCAUCAGCUCCAGUGGAGACACCUGUGUGUGCCCUUUGGGAGCUGAUUGCCAGGACCCCCGUGGGGCUGGGAUCAUGGCAGGGGGUUGUAAGCAAGGAAUGCCUGGCUUCUUAAAGUCACCAGCUGAGUCUUAGAGGCUUCUUUGAAGAGCUGAGUUCAGGCAGGCAAAUUGCCCCCCCAGGAGGGACUCUGUGCCUGCUCUCCCGUGGCUCCAAGGGAUCUCUGGCCCUUCACGCCGGCACCGAGAUUUUCUCGGGAAGGGCCUCAGAUCCCCGGACCAGUCUGGGACACAGGCAAGAUCCCGCUGCAGUUUAGGACCAAAUUGGCCCCCCUGGAGGGACAGUGCUGUUGGUGCCCCCCGGGUUGGGGCACCCCGAGGACUCCAGCGCGCACCGAAAGGAUUAUUCGGGGAGAUCCUCGGGGUGCCCGGCCCUGGGGAGCUCAAAGCAAGGUCCCUGCCAUGGAUUCAGGCAUUGCUGAGAGUAUCCCAGGGGUCCCUGUCCCUGCUAGACAUGGAGCUCUCUACUGGGCUGUAAUUGGGUGAUAAAAGUGGUGCUCCAAGUGCCAAAGCAGUGUGGGAUUGGGAUUAAGAAAUGAGCAGUGAGGGUCCAAUUGGCUGUUUUCUCUGGAAUGUGACUGUGAGAGCUGCAGGAGUGCCAGGUGUGUGUUCCAGUCCCCAGCAUUUGGUUUGCACCUGUCCUGGUCAGACACAGGUCCAACUUGCUCAGUCCUUAACCCAAGAGAGGGAGAAUGAAGGACUGGCACUGUUCAGGUGAUUGGUGUGACAGGGGUUAAACUGGGAAAACAUUGGGGAAUUCUUGAGUUUGUCUGUUUGCCAAACUCACCCAAACCUGUGCUAGGAAGAGAUGGACUGGAGUCUCUGCUCCCCUGGGCAGUUGUCCUGCAUGACCUGGGAGCCUCUGGGAUUAGACUGGACUGGGCAGACAGGGAGCAGUUUGUCCUGUGGAGCUGGGCUGGGUUUGUUCAGGAUGCCUUGGGAGGCAGGGCUGGAGAGGCCCCUCUGUUGGCUGUGGUGCUGGAAGGUUGUAGCAGCAGGGCUGGAGCCCUUCGCCCUCCUGCUCCCCCCGUGAGCCCCGCCGGGCCCGUGCCCUUGGCAAUGGAGGGCCCCCCAUUGCUGAGCCAGCGGUUCCGGGGCCAGGAGGGAUGGGAUCAGGAUGGGGCUCCACCCAGGGCCAGGGCUGCCAGUGUUCAACCAUGGAGAGAACUGAGAGCAGAGUGAGAUGGAGGCCAAGCUCCAGCACAGGGAUGGGUGAGAAAAGACCCUGGUCCUCAGGUGGAGCUUUGAAUUCCCUGGAAAAAUGGAUCCUGUCAGAUGGUUCAGGCCCUUGUGGGUGGUGGAGCAGAGGCCUCUGUGAUUUAUGGUCACCCUGAAAGGUUCCAAGGACACCAAGUUCUGACUGCAGGAUGAGGUGGGAAACAAAGUGAAGUGGUCCAGAGACAAGCUGAGGCUAAAAUUGGUGCUGUGCCAGAGCAGCCUCGUGCAGUGCUUGUUGCUGUCCUGAGUGUCCCAUUGCAGGGGAUAUUCCCAAGGGUGCCUUGGGCUGGGGAACACUGGGGGCAGUUCCCUUUCCCUGGGCAGGGCAGGCAGGGCACGUUUCCCCCCUCGAGGGUGGCUCCACAGUCCCCCCCUGUGCCCUGGGAGCGUGGCAGAACACCUGGAGCCACUGUCCUUGUCAGAGAGGGCACAAGGGAUGGUUGGAUGGGUGAGGGAAUGGGUCAGGGAGUACAAGCACCAUUAGAAUGAGUAGGGCAGCACAUGGAAAGGAAGGGGGGAGUUAAUCCAGACAAAAUCCAAGCACCUGCCCAACCUGUGAUAGUUUUAGGAACUCAGUGGUGCUGUGGUGCCCAGGAUUAGGCAGGAGACUUCAGGCUUGGUCACCCCCAGAGCAAGUCUCCAGGGGCAGGCAGUGGGGAGGCAGCUCUGCUGGUGAGGAUGGGGUUAUUUUCUCUGCUUUAUUUUGUCUCCAGAGAUAUUCUGCCCAUUAAUCCAAACUGACUCUGUCUCCUAACUCUCUGAAGAGGUUUUCUGCUUUUUGUGGGAGGGUGAGGUUUGGAUUCUAACUAUAGAAGAGCCAACAAAAUAAAGGCUUUGUGGCAAACAAAUGGUGUCUCCCAAACUCUUUGUACUUCAAAUAGAUGCCUUUAUUCUUAUUUUUUUCUUAUUGGUAUUCUCAAGGUGUUUAAUACCCUGUCUACAGUUAUUUAUUUUGGCUUCUCUUUUUUAUUUGUUACAAAGUUGAUGUGACUGACUUUUUUUUGAAAUCCAGCAGUGCUCUCAAGGAUAUUUCCCCCCCACUCCUGGGCUUGUGCAGGGCUGUUGAGUCCGUGUGUGCCGCUGUCAGCUUUGCUUCUCUGUUUGCUUGGUUGGCUCCUGUUAAGAGAAGGUUUGUUUCCUCCACUGUAAUAAUUCAGGGAAAUCCUGAGGUAUGAUUUAAGAAAUAAAGUCAUGAACUAUUGCAAUAAAUGUGAAUCCAAGAGUGCCUAAAAGCUGUUACUGAAUUCCAUUUCCAGGGACUGUCCUGGUGGGGAUAAUCCAGAACUGCAGCUUUGAUGUUUAAAAAGGAGCCUGUGGUACUUCUUGUUUCCUGUGCUGGGCUUUCCUUGAACAGUGCCCAGGGAGGGGAGCAGCAACAGCUUCACUUGGAAGUGGACUCUGGUUUUUGAGAACAUCCUAAGCUCAGUGUGGUUUUGGUAUCACUAAGUACUUAUUUUAUUUGCCAUUUGUCUUAAAUUUUAUACACCUUUGAAGUGCCAACUGUGUUUUGAAGACAUUCUUACAGUUGUUUCAAGUGAAAUUUGGAGUGUUACAAAUUUAGAAAGAGAUGAUUUUUAUGUGAAUAAACUACUAAAACAAAGGGGAGAGUGAGGAAAGCCAAGCUCAGGAGAUAACCUUACCAACUGGUUUGGGAAGUUGUUUACCUAAAUAGCCCAAAUUGGUUGGAGCUGCAGCACAAACGGGGGGAGAAGGAGAGGGUUUGUGUUUUGACAGUUCUUGGAGUUUUUUGCAGGGACUACUGCCAGGUUCUCUUUGAAGUCCAAACCCCAUUAGCAUGGGGAAAUGUUUGUUUGGCUUUAGAAAUAGGAGUGUAUAUUUCCCUUUGAACUAGAGGAAUGUUUCUAUGUCUUUGAAUUUUAAAUUGCACAUGAAGCAGAAAUAUGUUUGUGUUUUACAGGUGACAUUGUCAUGAAAAUAGAAAUGCAUCAUUGGAUCUUACUCCUCUGAGGGCAAACCACCAGGCUGAUCAUUUCUGAGUCCCUCAAACCCAGUGCCAUGAGCUCAGAGGGGUGUUUGGGUGCAAAUGUGCUGAGUGGUGGUGGCCCCGUGAGAUGUGAGCAGCUGGAAAUGUGUGUGUGUGUGUGCAGAGCUGGGCUGGAGCCCUUGGGAUUUGGCUCCCAGAUCCCCCCCAGCCUUCAGGAAAACCAGAGGACACCGAACCCUGAGGGAAGGGAGUCCCAUCUGCAGAAGGGUUUUUAGGUUGGGGAAAAGCUCCAGAACAAAGCCUGGGUUCCAAACACCUUCAGCAAAAGUCAAGGAGCACAGACCCUGAAGUCAUCAAGUUAUGGAGUUUGGUUCAAACCAUUUGCUUCUCAGUCAGUUUGAAUGAAGUGUUAAAAGGAGAACUUAAAUAAGGUUAAUUUCUGAUGGAGAACAAUGGGAAGAAGUGAAGUGGUUUAAGUUCAUUAAACAUGUUUUAUAUCAGUCCAUGGUUAUUUAAUUGAGCAUUGUUUGGAAUUUUUCUUUUUGCAUUUGUUCCUUGUGUGCUUUUCUCUAUCUGAGGGAUGGUUGGAGGUCUUUCUGAUUGGUUGGAUGUUUUUAAUGUCAGUGCUAGACUGGGGUGGUCAGUCAUUGUAACAUGAUUGAGAGUUUGAUGCAUUUUAUUCUGUGUGCCCUGUUUGAUGUCUCGUGUUCAGUGAGUGACUGGGCAGAGUUUGUCCCAAGCCUUUGUUUUUUGGGUGAAAACCCAAAGGGGAAUUGUAGCUGCAGCUUUGGCCUUGAGCUGCAGCUGGAGCCAAAGAACAAGGAAAACCUCCCUGGGGAAGGAAGGGGAGCCAGAGAAGAAAAGCAGCUGCAGCCAGAAAGUGGGAUGGAGCCUGGAAACUGCACAGAGCUGAGCCCAGGGAUUGAAAGGGACCAAGCAAGGGAGGUGAAGGAAGAAGGAAGAAGGGAAGUGAGGCAGCAGGCAAGCAGCACCAAGUUCCUGUGUAAGCAGGAGAAAAUGGGGCAAGGGGGCAGGAAGAAGAGAAGCCCCGUGACUCCUCCCUGAGCCCCAGCCAGCCCAUGAACUGCCUCCCUGGGAAUGGUGGGACGGGCUGGACUCUGGAUUGUUCCCUCUGGAUGUGUGGCUCUCCCCUCAGGAACUGCAGGAACUCCUGGUGCCGCCUGGGCCGAUGGAUUGGACACCCCAGCCCCUCCGUUCCUGCCCAGCCCCUGGGGCCGUGUCCAGUGGUGGCACUGCCAGCCCUGCAGGGGAAGUGGGAAGGGCCUUUGCAGUGGGAUGUAGCCUGGAAACUGCACAGAGCUGAGCCAAGGGAUUGAAAGGGACCAAUCAAGGGAGGUGAAGAAAGAAGGAAGAAGGGAAGUGAGGCAGCAGGCAAGCAGCACCAAGUUGCUGUGUAAGCAGGUGAGUUGUGUUGAGGUUCCUCAGGCAGGCACUGAGGACUUGGAGGGCUCCAGACAGAGCAGACCUGGGAAGGCCCUCGGUGAAGCCCCUCAGAGACCUUCUAAGGGUAGGUGUGUAUGGUGAUGAGUGUUGGGAUUGUCCUGAAUGUGGAACAGGAAUGCAGGGAAGGAAAAUGAACCCUCCUGUAAUGCUGACCCCUCCCAUCAGCUGCAGUGGAGACACCUGUGUGUGCCCUUUGGGAGCUGAUUGCCAGGACCCCCCGUGGGGCUGGGAUCAUGGCAGGG